CUUAGUACACACACACAAAGAGUCACUCCUGACAAAUGGGUCUCUCUCCUUUUAGCCAACAAAGAGAAAUCUGUUUUUCGGGUUGUGCCCUCAGCCUUCACAGCAAACACAAUCUGAGCUGAGGAUGCCAGAGUAUUUUUCUCACUGACAUUCUACUUCCUACGUGUUCUCAGAUUCCCUGGACCAGGAUCCUUUGUAUAAGUCACAGAAUCGGGGGGGUCUGAGGAUCUCCUGCCUCCUUAAGAUCUGGCAACAGAGCCAAGGAGAGAGAUGCAGGCACAGCGGAGAACUAGCCGAAAAGGACAAUGGGAGGGCCACAGAGAACACCUAGGAUCGUGGACAAACGUAGCCUAGGCCAACAGAGUGGGUGAACCAUGGACAACAUGGUGGCCCCUGGUGUGGCCUUGUAGCUCUUCUCUUCCCACGCCCAUCUGGCGAAUAUCCCUAAGAGUAACCUCCCCUCUGCUCAGAUUGGUCUAGGCCCUGACGCCUGACACUCCCCAACUGUUGUCACUUUUGUUUCCUCGGCCUGGCCAGCCACUCCCACUUAUUCCUCCAUUGGCUGGGCCUGGCCCGGUGGCCCCACUUGGCCACAGGACUGUCAUCUCCCGAGUGACCUCCAGAGAUGGGCCAUCCCAGCGCCCCUGCUCAGCAGCCGGCAGUAGCUUGCCGCCCAACCCCCCGCUGAAAAGCGAUCUAGGGCUCAAGCUCUCGGGCCAACAGGCCUGUCUGUCCCUGGCGGCCCUCCAGGCUGACCGCACCCUGGAGCCCCGCCUCCAGCCCACUAUCCUCGCGGCCCGAGGGAACACCCCCCGACCCAGGGCUGUGAUCGGGGAGGUAAAGAAACAUCCGCGACCGGGGCCGGGGCGCGGGGCGAAGCUGUGCCCGCGUGCCGUCAGCUAAAGGCCGCAGACCUUCAGGGCGACUCAGCUCCCAGCCUCGGAGAUCCGGAGACACUCAGGAAGUUUUCCGGACCCGCUCGUGAGGGAGGAACCCAACUCGCCGGGGCGGGAACCCGCGACGCCGGCAGGGAGCUCGGGUCCUGACCUCACGGAGAGAGAACCGAGGAGGCUGGGGGGAGCGGCGCCGCUCACGCCCGGAAUUCGUGCGGCGCGCGCUGAUGGCGUCACUGCGCGCCCGGCCGGCGCAGGCCCGCGCAUGCGCUCGGCCGGCAAUCUGAAGGCCCCUCCUGCUCACUGCCGUCAGACCCAGGUCCUCGGAGCGGAUCGCCUGUGCCCCGACCUCGUCUGCAGCCUCCAACAGUCAGCGCUCGGCCGGCGCAGCCACCAUCGCCCACCCUCCCCAACGUCCAACGCCCACGCUGGACGCUGCCACGGGCGCUCCUGACGCGCCUGCCUGAGGCUCACCCCUGUAUCUUCCUCCCCGUGCAACUUUUUGCUCUAAAGUCCCCAGUCUCAGCCACGGGAAAGGACAUAGGGUCGCGGGAUGAGACCAGGAGGUCCACCAGCCUCUCCACUGAUGGCGCCGCCCAGUCCUCCACUAAUGGCCUGCCUGGCCAUCUCCAGCCCAGCCAUCUGUUUCCAAUCGUGGACUCAAGUAAGGCACGGUGACCAUGGCACAUCCCCAUGGAAGAGGCGCCCAGGGCAACCAUAUGGUGCAUGCACACCCCUCUAAGUCCCCCACUCCCAAAGCCUGUCAUUACCAACGCAGGAGAAGGAGUGGGGCCUGGGGCAUGUCCCUCCAGAAGGCAGCAGUAAACACAGGUGGCACCCCUGGUCAGUGGGCCUCCUGCCAGGACCUUUCCUCCUCUCAGUCAGCCCCACUUCUCGGAUGGGAAAACCCAGGCAGAGACAGAGGACCUCUCUGGGAUCUAUGGAGGCCCAGGUCUGCACAGUCCUCACCCUGCCCCACCUAAUGAGGGAGCUGAAGAUAAGCGGUUGGGGAGGCCGCAGGUGGCAUCACAUCAGCCGGCUCAGGGGUCCACACCCUGGGAUGGGAUUCCAAGGGAGAGAUGGAGGGUCUGCAAGCAGUGGCUCCUCCCUGGCCUCGGACAGCAUCCUCUUGGUCUGCGACCUGCUUCCUGGCCUUGUGGGAUGGGGACGGGUGUGUGCCUUGCUCAGUGGGUAGGCCGGCACCAAGUCCACAAUGGGUGAACAGAGCCAGACGUGGAGUGCAGAGGGGAACAGGAUGGGGAGGAGCCGGCCAGGAGAAGGGAAGGGGUCCCUGAGGACAGGCAGGGGCUGUGCCCUGACCUCCCGCAGAGGCUGGCAGAGGUGGAGGCUACAGCCAAGACCCAGGCUCCACUCACACCUGCUGGGCCAGGUGCACGCAUAACCCGUUGGCCUGAGGGACCGAAGGGUUCAUCCCUUCCUCUGGUUCUCGGGACCGGACUUGGCCCAGUCACCGCUGGGAAAACCGAGACCAGCCCGGGGCCUGGACUGCAGAGGUCCAGCGGCCGCUCCACCGAGGGGUCCCCCGCGUGCGCGUCCCGCUGACAACUGAGCGGCCAAAGCAGAUUAACCCUCGUGCUAAUCCCCGCUAAUGGUUUCAGAAUCCCCGGGGCCGAGCGGCUAAGCCGGCCUUUCUCCGCGGCGCGGCCGGCCCUCCCCGGCGGCCUCAGCCCGCGGCCGCGCGAUGCUAUCUCGGCCCCGCCGCGCUAAUCCCCGCGCUCGCUUUCUUCCCGGGCCCGCUCGAGAUCGGCCGAUUGGCCCUUGAUUACGGCUGCUAUCGAGGGCCUCUUUGUGCUGUGGGCCCUAAAUCCCCUAAUUCCGUGAUAAAGGAGGUAUUAGCGGGCGUUUGCUGCUGAGAAAGGCACCGGCAUGAAAGAAAGCAAUCAGGGGAAUCCUGAUGGCCUCGCCUGUCCCGCCGAGGAGGGGGCAGGAAAGGGGGCCCGGGUGGGCGCUGCGGGGAGAGGGAGGGUGGGGGCCACUUCCCACCUUCAUUCCGAGUCCGCCUUCCCCAGCCCCGAGCUGCGCCCAGGACCCCUCCCCGCCCCGACCCUGGCUGCCGAGGGACCCCCCCUCCCCUCUGGCCUCACCUCCGCACUUGAUGGGACCUAACCCCCAAACCGGCCUUGGACCUUGCUGGGCCUACCUUGUGCUCCGGCCUCUGACUGUCCAAAGCCCGUGGUUCCUCAGGACUUACCUGCAGAUCCAUUCCCUUGGCCCCUGAUGCUCCUCUGCCCCCUCCUCACCCCCCGGAGUUCCUGCCCCCCAUCUGCCCCUGUCUCUUGGCACUGACCAGCUUUGACCAGUCCUGGAAGCAUCUGGGUCCGCUCUUUAGUCGGGGAAACAGAAGGGAGGGCAGCCGGGAGCGACUGGGAUUGUGGAGGGAGCGUGUGCGGGGGGAGGGGGCCUGAGACCCCUGGCGGCGGGCAGGUGGGGUGCGCAGGGAAGGCCCCUCUGCAGAAGCCACGCUGAACCCCAGGAUGGGGCUGAGAGCACCGGGCUGGCUGCGAGCUGGGUGCAGUGGCGGAGCUGACCCAGAGCCUGGGCAGCUGGAGGAAGGAGGCAGAGGCCAGCUGGGGCAGGUGGACAGAGGUGUCAGAGUCCAGGGGCUGGGGGAGCACGGAGAUAAGGCAGCUGAUCCUCUUAUCCUGAGCGUUUGGAGCAGGGGAGUGCCGUGAUUGGAUCUGUAUGCAGAGCGCACCUGAGCCACGACAGCAGGCUCAUUUUGGGGAGGGUCUCAGGCCAGGAGAGUAGCCGGGAGUAUGUAGAAAGGCCAUUGUGGGAGCCCAGGUGGCCGGCAUCUGCAUUGGCACUGAGGGGGUGGCAGAACUGGUGAGAUUUGGGGGUGGCAGUAGGGGAGUGUCCAGCACUGCAUGCAGUUUGAGGCUGGGGCAGCUCUGAGGGCAGGUGGGUGUCAUGGAGGCACAUGGGUGGGUGGCCACUUACCUGGGUGGACAGGUGUGCAUUUACCAAGGUGAACGGAAUUCUAGGUGUUGUUUACCUAGGUAGCGAGGUGGAAAGGCAGGCCGUUCACCAAGGAGGACCAGUGGGUGGGUGUGGACCAGCGGAUGGUGUCGUGGACCCCUUCAGUGGUCAGCUCACCCAUCCUGCGCUUCUGAGUGUUGGCGACCAAUGGUGCACAGCUGCCUCCACCUUGGAAUGUUGCCCUGGGUGGUGGAGCCACCUACACAGCAGACAAGGACUAACCGGCAUAGGGACUAAAAGGCUGGUCCCUGCUUCCUCGAGACAGUUGAAAACUGAAGCAGCCUGUGUCUGCCCCAGUGCUUCCGUGGGGGUUUCCAAGGACCCAAAUGCCUUGUCGCUUAACACUCCACCCCUCACCCGUGUCACCCUGUUCAUCAGUUUCCCAGGAAGCAGGGCUCUCAGUGUGCAACUGGGAUGGUUAGUCCCCCUAUGCUUCUGUUGUGUGCCCCCAAAAAGAGAUGUUGAAGUCCUAAGUGUUGGUACAAGUGUUGACCCUCCUUCUAGUUUAUACCUGUUCAUAUCCAGUGUUUUCAGUUUUUUUAAAAAUGUAUUGUUCAGAGUUUAUCAUUGUUAUCCAUAGGAGGAUUAGUCCAAAGCAAGUGACUCUACCAUUAAGAGAAGUGUAACUCUGCUCACUCAUUUUAAAUGUCUUUUGAGGCUUAUCUAAAUUACUAGAUACCGGUUUUUUUUGUUGUUUGUUUUUUUAGUUUUUGUUUGUUUGUUUGUUUUGACCAUGCUGCGUGGCAUAUGGGAUCUUAGUUCCCCGACCAGGGAUCAAACUGUGCUAGGCAUAAUAAUGGUCCCCUCGAAAAUGUCUACAUCCUGAGCCCCAGAAUCUGUGAAUAUGUUACCUUACAUGGCAAAAGAGACUUUGCAAUUGAUUAAGUUUAUCAUCUUGAGAUAAGGAGAUUAUUUCUGGUGGGCCCAAUGUAAUCAUAAGGGCCCUUAAAAGUGGAAGCGGGGGAGAAGAGGUCAGAAUGAUACAAUGGUCAGAAAGACUUGACCUACUGUUGCUGUCUUUGAAGAUGGAGGAACAGGCUAUGAGCCUUGAGAAACUGGGAAAAGCAAGGGGAUGGGUUUUCCUUCAUCUAUGAAAAAUAUAACCUUUGCUGCAUCUAUGAAAGACCUACAUCUAUCAUCAUACUUAGGGCUUAAAGACUGAGUUGUUUCUCUCUCAGACUGGAAGCAAGGCAAAGAUGUUUGAUGUCUCAAUUUUUAUUCAAUGAUCUACUGGAGGUCUAGACAUUUCAAUAACACAAGAAAAAGAAAUGAAAGCCUGGAAAUUCCCUGGCGGUCCAGUGCUUAGGACUCAGCACUUUCACUGCCGGGGCCCACGUUCAAUCCCUGGUCAGGGAACUAAGAUCCUGCAAGCCAUGCUGUGCCGAAAAAAAGAAAGGGAGAAAGGAAUGAAAGCCAUAAAGAUUGUAGAUGAAGAAGUAACACUAGCAGAUAAUAUGUUCAUGUGAUAUAGUCGUUUACAUAGAAAACGUUAAAGUAUAUACAAAAUCAAAUUGAGGUCUAUAAAUUAAUACAUGAAAUCAGCAAAUUUGGAUUGUAUUUCCCCCCCAAAAAUAUGUUCUACAAAGGGCCAAUAGGCACAUGAAAAGAUGCUCAACAUAACUAGUCACUAGGGAAAUGUAAAUCAAAACCAUAAGCUACCGGGAAGUUCCCUGGUGGCCUAGUGGUUAGGAUUCAGCACUUUCACUGCGGAGGCCCGGGUUUGAUCCCUGGUUGGGGAACCAUCCCACGUGCUGCCAAAAUACCAAAACAAAACAAAAACAUAAGCUACCACUUCACAUCCAUUAGGAUGACUACAAAAUUUUUUUUUUUUAAAAAAAGGGAAAAUAACAUGGUAGUGAAGAUGUGGAGAGAUUGGAAUUCUUGUGCUUUGCUGGUGGGAAUGUAAGAUGGUACUGCUGCUAUGGAGAACAGCUUGGCAGUUUCUCAAAAGUUAAACAUACAAUUAUCAUGCGAUCCAGCAAUUCCAUUCCUAAGUAUCUACCCUAAAUAAGUGAGAGCAGGGACUCGAGCAGAUACUUAUACACCCAUGUUCACAGCAGCACUAUGCACAAUAGUCAGAAGGUAGGAACAACCCAAAUGUCCACUGACGGAUGAAUGGAUUUUAAAAUGUGAUGUAUACAUGCAAUGGUACUCAGCCAUAACCCCUGGCUGUCAGGGGCUGAGGGUAGGAGGAAAUGGGGAGCUAGCAUUUAAUGGGUACAGGGUUUCUGUUUGGGAUGAUGGGAAAGUUCUUGAGAUGAUAAUGAUGAUGAUUUACAACAUUGUGAAUGUACACUUAAACAUGGUUAAAACGGUAAAUUCUAUGCUAUGUAUUUUUUACCACAUUAAAAAAUAAAAUAAUAGAAGAGCAAAAGACUGAAAUCACCAGACCCAAAGGAGUGUCACGAUCCCUUGCUCAAUUUCCAGCCAGUUCUCAGACCCAGACCUCGUCUGCUGAAGUCUCCUCCCGUGAGGAAGGAUCCGGCAACACUGUGGAGAGUGUUUGUAGGCUUGAUGCCCCUAAUCCUCUGCAAAGGUACGUAUGUCCCUUUCCUCAGGUAAUUUUAUGCUGGAGAAGAGGAAAACCCAGGCCAUCUCAGAGCCAUUGGAUACAGUCUCCAUGUUAACACUGGUCCCUGGGACCCAAUGUGCCAUCACGGUCUCUCCGUUGGAUUGGGAAUAUAGAGAGGGCAGGCGAUAAAUGGAGUACUGACCCAACUCCAUCUCACAGGGGACGCCAGGGGGCUCCUAACCUACCCACUGGCUAGUCUCCAGUUUCUGAAUGCAUAAUUGGAAUAGACAUAUGUAACAUUUGGCAGAACUUCCGCAGUGGUUUCUAAUCUUUAGAGUAAGACCUAUUUUGUAAGUGAGAGCUCCUGAACUGCCCCCUACCAAGAUGAAAAAAAUGCUUUCUCUUAGGAAGAAUAGCAGAGUUGAACGUCAUGGCUAAAGACUUAAACGCUGCAGGGGGUGGUCUCUAGCAAACCCAUGAUUUAGUUCAUUAGUCUAGCUCCUGAAAAAAAUAGAUGGAUUGUACAACAGUUCUUUGUGAUAAAACACUCAACAAACUUGAAAUAGAAGGGAACUUCCUCCACCUGAUAAAGGGCAUCUAUAAAAACAAUCCACAGCUAACAUGAUACAUUAUGAUGAAGACUGAAUCUUUUCCCUCUAAGAGCAGGAACAACAUGAGAGUGCCCACUCUCAUCACUGCUGUUCGGUGAUUUAUUGGAGGUUCUAGCCAGGGAACUUAGGAAAAUGAAGCAGAAAGCACCAGUGUGUAAAGGAAAAAGAUAAGAUCUCUGUUCACAAAUGACAUUACCCUGUAUAUAGAAAACCUUUAGAAUCCACAAAAAGCUAUUAGCAUUAAUAAACAAAUCCAGCAGGUUGCAAGAUACAAGAUCAAUGUACAAAAUCAAUUGUAUUUCUAUACACUUGCAGUGAGCAAUCUGAAAAUGAAAUUAAGAAAACCAUUCCAUUUAUAAUAGUAUCAAAAAGAACAAAAUACUGAAGAAUAAAUUAAAGAAGUAAAAAAUGUAUACUCUGAAAAUUACAAACAUUACUGAAGGAAAUUAUAGAUGAUCUCAAUAAAUGGAAGACAUCCUAUGUUCAUGGAUUGGCAGAGUUAAUGUUGUUAACAUGGCAGUGCUCCCCAAAUGGAUCUACAGAUACAAUCUCUAUCAAAAUUCCAGCUGGUCUCUUCGAAUAAACUGAUAAGCUGGUCCUAAAAUUCACAUGAAAGUUUGUGGGAACCAGAAUAGCCAAAUCAAUGUUGAAAAAAAGAACAAAGUUAGAGAGCUCACACUUCCCAAUCUCAAAACUGACUGCAAAGCUACAGUAAUCAAGACAGUAAGGAUAAAUGUAUAGAUCGAUGGAGCAGAAUUCAGAAUCCAGGAGGAAGUCCUCACAUUUAUGGUCAAUUGAUUUGCAACUGGAGGGUGGGGAACAAUUCAAGGAGGGAAAGAAUAAUCUUUUCAACAGAUAGGACUGGGACAACUGGAUAUCCAAAUGCAAAAGAAUGACAUUGGAUCCUCAGCUAACAUCAUACACAAAAAUUAACUCAAAAUGGAUCAAUGUAAGAGCUAAAACUAGAAAAUUUAUAGUUUAUAAAACUGUAAAACAUCAGGGUUAAUCUUCAUGAUCUUGGAUUUGGCAAUGUCUUCUUAGAAAUGACACCAGAAGUUUAAGCAACCAAAGAAAACAAUUCAACUUAUUCAAAAUCUUAACAUCUUGUGCUUCAAAAGACACUAUCAAGAAAGUGAGAAACCACCUACAGAAUCGGAGAAAAUAUUUGUACAUUAUAUAUCUGAUAAGGAGAGGGGGAUGGUGCCAGGCUACAGCCUUGGGACCAUGGCAGCUGCAGCCUGUCCCACUAGCCUUCCACUUACAUCCAGAAAAUGUGCCCAACCAGAAUCCUGGGGAGUUUGACUUCAGUGCACUUAACGUGAGAGUGGGUGGGCUGAGGGUGGCAGGGCUGCAGGAAGUGCCCCAGCGGUGUGAGCUGGUGACUGGCAGCUGCCCCUUCCCUGGAGCAUCACUGGUGGGAGCUGCCUUGGCCGAGAAGGCUGUGCACCCCAACCUCACUAAAGGGGGCCCCAGAACCCCUGGGCUAGAGUGAAACCAGCCUCCCCUCAGCACCCACCCCCACUCCCUCGGGUGCUCCCCCACCACAAUCACUGAUUACAUUGCCAUCACUCCAAUGUUGCCUUUUUCAAAGUGUCCAAUACAUGCAGUCAUACAGUAUGUAGCCUUUUGAAAGUUGUUUACUAAAUACGAUGUGUGUGAGGUCCAUCCCUGUUGUUGCACGUGUUGCUGUCACUCUGGGCUCCUCCCUGGUGUGCAUGGACCCCGGACCGCGGCGUGUUCAUCCAUUCACCAGCUGAUGAGAGUCUGAGUUGUUUCCAAGCUUUGUCGAUAAUGAUUAGAGCUGCUCUAAACAUUCAUGGGCAGCGUCUUGUGUGAGCACAAGUUUUCAUUUCUCCAGGGUGAAUCCCAGGGAUGGAAUUGCUGAUACAUGUGGUAGGUGUAAAUCUAACUCUGGCUGCUUUGUUUUGAACAUCUCUUUCUCCUUCCUCUGUAGGGAGCCAGAGGAAGCCAGGCAGCUCCUUCAACACCCCCGCUGGGCAUCUCCGUAGCUACAUCAUCUGCCUCACCAGCCAGGAAGUGACAGCUGGGGCGGAAGCCAGGCCGUCUGCUGCUCUGUCCUGUGAGCCACACAGUAACUUUUCAGAGGUCCAGAGAAGGCCUUCAGCAGAAGUCCUGGCCAGCUGCUUAGAUGAGGACGAAAUGGUCUUCCUGCUUAGAUGAGGACGAAAUGGUCUUCCUGGAAUUUGGCAAAGUGCAGGUCACCGACAAAGUUGGGCAGAAUGACCCGGAGGGAUGGUGUGGACGGAGCUGAGGAGUGGGGGUGUGGACACAGGAGUCAGCUCCUGAGAAGAAUGGCUGUGAUGAGGGUGGGGAGGGGGUGGUAAUGAUUUGGGGUGGAUUCUGGGAAGUACCGGAAAGCAGAUGAUAAGUUUCCCCAGAGCACAUAAGUGGGGCCUCCGAUGGGGCCCAGGAGAAAAGGCAAAGAAUUGGAGGCCCAGGGCAGUGGGGCUGCGGGUUUGGUGAUGAGCAGAGAUAGCUUCCCCCCCGCAACCCCGUUUCCUCCACGAGGUUGAGACCCGGGCUCCUAAGUAUGUGUGUCGAGGGGGCGGGGGAAUUUGGGCCGAAGUGCGGUGGGACCGCGGGGUUGCCGAGGGUAUUGGGCCCCAUUUGAGG
Molecule: RNA transcript, 9650 nt
Organism: Orcinus orca (killer whale)
Lineage: Eukaryota; Metazoa; Chordata; Mammalia; Artiodactyla; Delphinidae
Gene: GSC2
Gene name: goosecoid homeobox 2
Exons: 2
Source: RefSeq, a predicted model, not a curated record